This 496-nucleotide unclassified non-coding RNA is filed under the name Hevea brasiliensis (rubber tree). The record is from RNAcentral. Lineage: Eukaryota; Viridiplantae; Streptophyta; Magnoliopsida; Malpighiales; Euphorbiaceae.
AAAGGGGUAAUUAAGGCCUCAAACUUGUAAUGCCAUGACUAUGGAAGUGUCUCACUCUCAUUGGAAAAUUUAUAACAAUCUUUAAGGAAAGCUAAAUCCAGAAUGAAAAAUUGUUACAACUUUUGUUGCCUUUCAAAUGGACAUGUUGGUGGCCUCAAUACUUGGCGGCAACUUGAUCGGUUCUUGUAGCUCUGGAUUCACGGGAAACAUAUAACAUUGAGCAUAUUGUGCCAUUAAUUGGUCCAUGAGAACCAGAGCCACCAUGGCUUCUACCAUAGGCACCGCUCGUGGGACAACACAAGGAUCAUGGCGACCACGGGCAAUUAAUUCUGUCUCCUUCUUAUCUCUAGUCACCGUAUGUUGUUUCCUUCCUAUUGUAGAUGUUGGCUUGAAAGCUAUUCUUAUGUUUAUAGUUUCACCAUUGGAUAUUCCUCCCUGUAUACCACCAGAACGAUUUGUUCUUGUCCUGAUUUUUCCAUGUUCAUCCACGUAAAAU